AGGUUCCAAAGUACUGGUACGGCGAGCUCAUGGGAUUCCUCUUCCUCAGAAAGAUUCCUGAUGGGACCCUGAAAAUUUCCAACUGCAUUCACAGGUGACCUCUUACCUGUCCUUCCCACGAAGACAGCCCCAACAUACGAGGGUGGUUCGUGACUUUGAAUCAAGAGGCAGAGUCUGGCAGUGCGUCCGCAACCAGCGGUCGGCCUCAGACCCAGAGAUGCUUGCUGCCAGGUAUUAAUGAUGAGCCGGCUGGCUGCUCCAUGGAGCCAAGCCGGGGAUGCCGGCAUGGCCUCGGCCUGGCCUGUCACCAUCACCCUCAUCCACCAUCUGGAGAAGAACGUGAUGGCUUUUCCAGGCCCCUUUACGUCUCAGGAAGAGAUUAGCACAGACCUCCAACCAAUCAGUCACAAGGCGGCAGAGGAGAGGGCGCCAUUUGCUGGGUUGCUGACAAUACACAGUGCUCAAUUUCCUACACCAGUUGAUGCUGCUGCCAUCCGUAUGGCCUGACAGUCUCUUUUCGUCUGCCUAGUCUUGUCGCUCUGAAGCCCUCCAAGGAGAUGGAUGCAUCCAGUUGGAUUCCAGAGUUCACCAGGAGGGCGCUGUCCAUCAGCCUAUCAGCCAGUAUCCAGGGGAUGGAGACCCGAGAUGGCCUCGAUGGUGUCCUGGGAGCACUAACCAAGGAGUCCCGAGACAGCUCUCAGCUCUGCCAGGUCGGGUGACGCACGGUGUGAUUUUGAGAUCAAUGAUAUCCCUGCCAAGUCAUCAUUACACGUGACUCCUGCCAGUGUUAAGUUACAGGUAGUUAUCGCUGAGUUUUGUCUCCAAAUAAUCAUGGGAUUAUUUGUUUUGUUUGGGCUCAGAAGCCCUACAUCUAUCGAUGCCUUUCUGGCGGGGGACAAAAAGAGCGUGCAUUUAAGAAGACAGAGCCAAGGUGAUUUAUAUGCAGAAGAACUCUUCAGGCUGUCAAAGGCCUGUCAGAGGCUUCCUUGAAGAAGACUUUAACCAGCCCCUUCACCUUCUCAGAGGUGAGUUAUACUGGCCCAUGGUAGCUGUCAGAGAAUACAAUCUUCCAGGCUUAAGACAAGAACCAGCUGGCAGAGUGAUGUGCUGAGAACCGCAGCUACAGAUGUGGUUUCAGGGAGGGGAGUUAUGAUUCAGCAUUCUAGACUACUCUAGCUGUGGAAGGUGGGGUGUGCCCAUUUACACCCCACUGAGAAGAUGGAGCACACCUCCUGGGCCUUGCUAACAAGAACCAGGGCCUAGGAAACAAAAAGGGGCCUUUCUUAAUCCGACAAUACCCCUGCCUGUCUAGGGAGCUGGCCAGAAGACCGGACCACCUUGGACACAUUGGCUAUAUGAUUCUGGGCAGGCCUCUUGACUUAUCAAUGGUGCCAGACUCAGAAAGAAAGAGAGGCCUCCAAACCCACACAUAAGGAUUCCUACAGGCCCAUAUUGACUCAGAAAGCCUCAUGUUAGCAUUAUCUAUGUUCUAUUGAAUUUUUGCUUAUUUUGGUCACUAUUUCCCAUCACAUUUUAAUCUGCUUCUGUCUGCACUUAGGAGUGUUGGGGAUAAAAUGCCUCUACAGGGUUAUGCAUUUGACAUCUCUGCUCUAGAAAAAUGGGACACUCUAAGUCUACCAUUUGGAGAGAAGGGGCCGACCUACAGUGAUAGAGGGAGUUCCCUCACCCACUAAUUUCAUCACAGAUUCAAACCAUAUCCCUCUCCUUAAAACAUGGAGUCGCUCACUCAGAUGGAAACAUCUCAUUUCUUUUAUAAAGCUUCGCCUUUUUUAAUCGUUGAAAAUGCUCUCUCAAUACUGGUAAGAGAUGUACCCCCAAGACAUUUUAUAAUGUGCAGACCUAUGAGAUUAUUUCAUCACUUACACGGUGGUGGGGAGAUAUUUAUAAGGAGUACAGAUCCUCCCAGAAGGGUUCAAAGGAAUGGAGUGUCUACCCACAGCACUCGGUUGAAGGAAAGUUAAGUGAAAGAAGAAUGUAAGCUCCUUGAGGGCAGGGAAUCUUAAUUUUUGUCUUCAUAUCCCCAGUCUAGGAUUGUGCCUGGUACAUCAUAGGAGUGUAGUAAAGGCUUGUUGUUCACCCACUUGCUUGAUUGAUUGAAAGGUUUCAGAGUUGGAAGACCGAGCCUCAGUUUCCCUGACUCAGCAGAUCCCGCUUUAAUAAUGCAGCCCCAUUCUUCCACAUUUUUCCUAAUGUUAUUCGAGUGCUCUAAUAUAAUUUGGUAAGCUAUUAGAGUUGUUACAGCUGCAUGUUUCACCCUCACUGCUGAUUUCACUUAUGACCUCAGUCAGAAUAAGAUUUAAAAGUUCGAGAUGAUGUAAGUGAAUAAGGAUUAUUAGAUUUAUUCAUAUAGCAAUUUAAAUAAGAAACUGCCUGGCCUAGAAUAAGUGGUAAAUGAAAAAUGCCUAUGAUUUAUAGACCUGUCCAUUCAAAAGAUUUAUACGCUGUAUAGGAUGAUUAAGUAAGAGACAGACCUGAUUAUAUGAAAUAUGUAAUUUUUGUAAUGCAAUUUUGGAAGCAAGCUGCUAACCAGCCCUGGCACACCAAGCCAGCGUGAAGGCCUCCUUCUGACCCCUGCCUUGCACCGCUGCUCACUGGUGGACUCGUGCUAGAAGAGGAUGCAGAGUUUUCUCCCCAUUUCCCUUUUACUGAGCCAGUCAGUGGUAGCACAUCCCCGGGCAAUUAUGUGAACUUCAUUCACAGCAAAUCA
Vombatus ursinus (common wombat) is the source of this 2728-nucleotide long non-coding RNA. RefSeq lists it as uncharacterized. The record is from RefSeq and is a predicted model, not a curated record. NCBI's taxonomy places the organism in Eukaryota, Metazoa, Chordata, Mammalia, Diprotodontia, Vombatidae. The transcript is spliced from 6 exons.